This 300-nucleotide ribosomal RNA is filed under the name uncultured bacterium. Its description in RNAcentral is "bacterial SSU rRNA". The stretch from base 52 to 300 matches the Rfam family "Bacterial small subunit ribosomal RNA", at positions 547 to 795 of the family's 1533-position model. The record is from RNAcentral.
GGUAGUUGGGUGGCAGAAGCGGCGGAAUGACGGCGGGGGGAGGCGUGGGCAGUAAUCAGGGGGGGUAAAGCGCGUGUAGGCGGUUCGGUAAGUCUGCUGUGAAAGUCCAGGGCUCAACCCUGGGAUGCUGGUGGAGACGGUCGGGCUAGAGUGCGGAAGAGGCGAGUGGAAUUCCCGGUGUAGCGGUGAAAUGCGCAGAUAUCGGGAGGAACACCAAUUGCGAAGGCAGCUCGCUGGGACGUCACUGACGCUGAGACGCGAAAGCGUGGGGAGCAAACAGGAUUAGAUACCCUGGUAGUC